Molecule: transfer RNA, 74 nt
Filed under: Microlunatus kandeliicorticis
Lineage: Bacteria; Bacillati; Actinomycetota; Actinomycetes; Propionibacteriales; Propionibacteriaceae
Also listed under: 3 other names
Rfam family: tRNA
About the family: Transfer RNA (tRNA) molecules are approximately 80 nucleotides in length. Their secondary structure includes four short double-helical elements and three loops (D, anti-codon, and T loops). Further hydrogen bonds mediate the characteristic L-shaped molecular structure. tRNAs have two regions of fundamental functional importance: the anti-codon, which is responsible for specific mRNA codon recognition, and the 3' end, to which the tRNAs corresponding amino acid is attached (by aminoacyl-tRNA synthetases). tRNAs cope with the degeneracy of the genetic code in two manners: having more than one tRNA (with a specific anti-codon) for a particular amino acid; and 'wobble' base-pairing, i.e. permitting non-standard base-pairing at the 3rd anti-codon position.
Source: Rfam by way of RNAcentral
GGGCGCAUAGCUCAGUUGGUUAGAGCACCUGCCUUACAAGCAGGGGGUCAGGGGUUCGAGUCCCUUUGCGCCCA